RNAcentral lists this ribosomal RNA (424 nucleotides) under uncultured bacterium. RNAcentral describes it as "bacterial SSU rRNA". It matches the Rfam family "Bacterial small subunit ribosomal RNA", at positions 355 to 776 of the family's 1533-position model. The record is from RNAcentral.
UGGGGAAUAUUGGACAAUGGGCGAAAGCCUGAUCCAGCAAUGCCGCGUGAGUGAUGAAGGCCUUCGGGUUGUAAAGCUCUGUCGGGAGGGACGAAAAAGCAGCCUAACUACCUGCCUUGACGGUACCUCCAAAGGAAGCACCGGCUAACUCUGUGCCAGCAGCCGCGGUAAUACAGAGGGUGCAAGCGUUGUUCGGAAUUACUGGGCGUAAAGCGCGUGUAGGUGGCUGCGUAAGUCGGAUGUGAAAUCCCUCGGCUUAACCGAGGAAGUGCAUUCGAUACUGCGUAGCUUGAGUGUUGGAGGGGAUGGCGGAAUUCCCGGUGUAGAGGUGAAAUUCGUAGAUAUCGGGAGGAACACCUGUGGCGAAGGCGGCCAUCUGGACAACUACUGACACUGAGACGCGAAAGCGUGGGUAGCAAACAGG